GACGAACGCUGGCGGCGUGCUUAACACAUGCAAGUCGAACGGAAAGGCCCUGCUUUUGUGGGGUGCUCGAGUGGCGAACGGGUGAGUAACACGUGAGUAACCUGCCCUUGACUUUGGGAUAACUUCAGGAAACUGGGGCUAAUACCGGAUAGGAGCUCCUGCUGCGUGGUGGGGGUUGGAAAGUUUCGGCGGUUGGGGAUGGACUCGCGGCUUAUCAGCUUGUUGGUGGGGUAGUGGCUUACCAAGGCUUUGACGGGUAGCCGGCCUGAGAGGGUGACCGGCCACAUUGGGACUGAGAUACGGCCCAGACUCCUACGGGAGGCAGCAGUGGGGAAUAUUGCACAGUGGGCGGAAGCCUGAUGCAGCAACGCCGCGUGCGGGAUGACGGCCUUCGGGUUGUAAACCGCUUUCGCCUGUGACGAAGCGUGAGUGACGGUAAUGGGUAAAGAAGCACCGGCUAACUACGUG
This 468-nucleotide ribosomal RNA is filed under the name uncultured bacterium. Its description in RNAcentral is "partial 16S ribosomal RNA". It matches the Rfam family "Bacterial small subunit ribosomal RNA", at positions 28 to 507 of the family's 1533-position model. The record is from RNAcentral.